This 497-nucleotide ribosomal RNA is filed under the name uncultured bacterium. RNAcentral describes it as "partial 16S ribosomal RNA". It matches the Rfam family "Bacterial small subunit ribosomal RNA", at positions 28 to 507 of the family's 1533-position model. The record is from RNAcentral.
GAUGAACGCUGGCGGCGUGCCUAAUACAUGCAAGUCGAGCGAACGGACGAGAAGCUUGCUUCUCUGAUGUUAGCGGCGGACGGGUGAGUAACACGUGGAUAACCUACCUAUAAGACUGGGAUAACUUCGGGAAACCGGAGCUAAUACCGGAUAAUAUUUUGAACCGCAUGGUUCAAAAGUGAAAGACGGUCUUGCUGUCACUUAUAGAUGGAUCCGCGCUGCAUUAGCUAGUUGGUAAGGUAACGGCUUACCAAGGCAACGAUGCAUAGCCGACCUGAGAGGGUGAUCGGCCACACUGGAACUGAGACACGGUCCAGACUCCUGCGGGAGGCAGCAGUAGGGAAUCUUCCGCAAUGGGCGAAAACCUGACGGAGCAACGCCGCGUGAGUGAUGAAGGUCUUCGGAUCGUAAAACUCUGUUAUUAGGGAAGAACAUAUGUGUAAGUAACUGUGCACAUCUUGACGGUACCUAAUCAGAAAGCCACGGCUAACUACGUG